This is an RNA transcript of Rhododendron vialii, 2966 nucleotides long. It is a transcript of the gene named rop guanine nucleotide exchange factor 2-like, with no coding region annotated. NCBI's taxonomy places the organism in Eukaryota, Viridiplantae, Streptophyta, Magnoliopsida, Ericales, Ericaceae. The transcript has 9 exons. The record is from RefSeq and is a predicted model, not a curated record.
CAAGCCAAAAUCACUAACCCGCCAACUUCAAAAGCUUCAACCCAUUUUUUUUCAAAAUCUCUCCUUUUUCUUGUUUCCUCUAGCUUCUAUGGCAAGUUACACCCCUUUUAGCAACUGGGUUUCGCUUGUUUGAAUCUGAACCGACCGAUUUUCGAUCGGAGGGCCGGAAUUCCUUCUCCCCCAUGAACAUGAUCGUGAUGAUGUGGGUUUGUUAAAAUAAAGUUUGCUUCUUUUGGAAAGAAAGAGAAAAAGAGACUUGAGGGUUAAUUGGAGGGAACAGUUUCAAACGGUUCUCAGUCUUUUUAGCCAACUUCCCAUGCUGAAAUUCAAAUCUUUAUAUUAAAGAUUUGAGUAGAAAAUCCCAUUCUUUGCAGAGAAAGGCUCAAAAUGGACAGUUCUUCGACUUCUGACGAGAAUUCUCAUCUGGGUUAUCAAUCUUCGCUUUCUUCGACUGAUCAAACUGAUCAUUCACCCACCAGAACCACCCUUUAUUCGGUGUUGAGUACAGAUUCUUUCACUUACUAUCGAACAAAUUCAGAGAUUUCGUGUUUUUCAGAGCUCACCACAGAGGAAAGUAGCUACCCGGAAACUCCCUCCCUUGCUUGGCUGCUGACAAAAUCUCCCAAACUUGACAGGAGAGGCCUUGCGCAUGUUGAUUACGAUUCGGUGGAUUUAGGCGACAAAACCAUAGAACUGGAAACGAUGAAGGAAAGAUUCUCCAAGCUUUUGUUGGGUGAAGACAUGUCUGGAAGUGGGAAAGGCGUUUGCACGGCCGUGGCGAUUUCCAAUGCUAUGACCAACCUCUAUGCUUCUGUAUUUGGCAAUCAUCUGAGACUAGAACCCCUGCAUCCAGAAAAAAAGUUGAUGUGGAGGAGAGAAAUGAAUUGCCUUCUAUCCGUAUGCGAUUACAUCGUAGAACUUGUUCCUAAAUCAAAAGAUUUGCAUGAUGGAACAACCCUUGAGGUGAUGGCAGGCAUGCCGAGAUCGGAUAUUUACAUCAACCUCCCUGCCUUGAGAAAACUUGACACAAUGCUUCUUGAGAUACUGGAGGGUUUCCAGGAGACGGAGUUUUGGUACGUAGAGCAAGGGAGCAUGUCGGGAAACUCAUCGAGACCUGGCUCAUUCAGGAGGAUUGUUCAGCCGCUUCAGCGUCAGGAGGAGAAGUGGUGGCUGCCGGUUCCAUGUGUUCCCUCCGGAGGCCUGUCUGAGAAGUCGAGGAAGGACUUGCGACAUAAACGCGACUGUGCGAAACAAAUCCAAAAAGCAGCAAUGGCCAUCAAUGGUUCUGUUCUAGCAGAGAUGGAAAUUCCUGAUACAUAUUUGGCAUCACUUCCUAAGAGUGGAAAAGCAAGUGUAGGAGAAACGAUAUACCGCUAUAUCAACACCGCAGACAAAUUCUCCCCCAACCAUCUACUUGACCAUCUGAACAUAAGCUCUGAACUUGAAGCGCUUGAGCUAGCAGAUAAAGUGGAAGCGUCCAUAUACACUUGGAGGCGAAAAGCAUGUGUGAGCCAAUCGAAAUCAUCAUGGGAGUUGGUGAAGGAUUUCAUGUCGGAGGUCGACCGAACCGACAAGAAUCAGGUGUUAGCAGAGAGAGCUGAGGUCUUGUUGUAUUGCUUGAAGCAGAGGUACCCUGAACUUUCACAGACUAGUUUGGACACUUCCAAGAUUCAGUACAAUAGGGAUGUGGGACAAGCUAUCCUAGAGAGCUACUCAAGGGUGUUGGAAGGACUGGCAUUCAACACUGUUGCUUGGAUUGAAGAUGUGCUAUUUGUAGAUAAAUCCACAAAGGCCCAAGAUCCAUAGAAACUACCACAAAGAAGAUCUAUAACUACUCGAAGAGUGUUGCUCACAUGCAUUACCUCAAUGAUUUUCUGCAACAGAAGCUGACUCUACAGAGUUCAAAACCCUAAUCCAAGAACCUAAUAUGGCCUGUUUUCUUGCAUGCCCUAGAAGCCAAAAUUGUCAAGUGUAAUUUGAGAUACAUUACAUAGAUCCAGAACUUUUUAAGCAUAUGAGUUGAUUUAUAUGUGUAUGCACUUAUGUAGAUAUAGUGAGACAAUCUCUAUACCCUCACAAUCUGUUUCGACAAUUCUAUGACAGUUCAAUUCAUAACAUGAAUUAUUUUUCUUUCUUACCAGUCUUUCCUAAGAAUUUUUGAUAACUCAAGUGUUGGGGCCAGUUUACAUCGCACCUUAACUAAUCCUGGGGACCAAUGAGGAGUUCGGGCCAGUUUAUGUGUACCUCGACUAAUUCUGAGAACUGCUUUGCUCUGUAAGGAUUGGCCCUAAAAGAGUUGAUAGCACUUGAGAGGUUUCGAACCAAAUAAAGAACUACUAUUUUCCCUGUCUUCUCUCAGAAUUAUAGUUGAAGAACAAUUUUCCCAACAAAAAAAAGUUUUCAAAUUAAAAUGGGUGAAGCCAACAUUAGCAUCACAAAUCAAGUCCAAGAUGUUCAACAUCUUACAUCUUCAAUCCAAAUUACAAACUAAUAACUCUACAAACAUGACACAAAGAUAGUGAUAAUUUACAAAACAUAAAGGCCGCAAAUUUAACGGAGUAAAUAAGAAUUCACAUCCUGAUAACUAUAAUUCUGGAUCCGUACCUGAAUUUAAGCCUAGAGGGGGAAUCAAAAGACCGCAAUUACACAUCAGUUAAAGAAACACGCCCAAUGUUAAAGGGUCCUAUGGGUUUCUUUGGAGCAGUAGAAUUUGGAGAAGAGGAUUUGAAUGCAUCAACUACUGAGUUGCACUUAGUCCUCUCCCCUUUGUUUUCCUCCAAACACUUCCUUAGAGCUUCAGCGACAUUUUCUCCACCCACAGCGUUAUUUUUAGGAUUGUUAUUAAUCUUCUUUUUGCUGCCACAAUCACCACCACCACUCUCUCUCUUAUCUUCAUCCAUUGGUCAAAACCCAGAAAAAUUCUAGAGAGAGAGAGAGCAGCAGCAGCAGCAGCAGCAGCAGCAGCA